GCCGGGGUGGCGGAAUAGGUAGACGCGUUGGUCUCAAAAACCAAUCUCCUUAGGGAGGUGAGGGUUCGAGCCCCUCUCCCGGUA
This 84-nucleotide transfer RNA is filed under the name Fidelibacterota bacterium. RNAcentral's name for it is "tRNA-Leu". It matches the Rfam family "tRNA". Rfam says of the family: Transfer RNA (tRNA) molecules are approximately 80 nucleotides in length. Their secondary structure includes four short double-helical elements and three loops (D, anti-codon, and T loops). The record is from RNAcentral. Lineage: Bacteria; Pseudomonadati; Fidelibacterota.